This is a long non-coding RNA of Poecilia latipinna (sailfin molly), 172 nucleotides long. RefSeq lists it as uncharacterized. The transcript has 2 exons. The record is from RefSeq and is a predicted model, not a curated record. Lineage: Eukaryota; Metazoa; Chordata; Actinopteri; Cyprinodontiformes; Poeciliidae.
GUAGUUGACCAGCUUUAGGGCGGCCAUCUUGGAGCGGGCGGCCAUCUUGGAGCGGUACACCACUCCACUUAGCUUAUGUGUUUAGCAGGAACAAUGACGUAUCAGCGCAUUUAAUCGAUCAUAACACGCUUUUUUGUUACUGGAAACCAUAUUCAAACAUCUAUCAAAGCUA